This 89-nucleotide transfer RNA is filed under the name Oldenlandia corymbosa var. corymbosa. RNAcentral's name for it is "tRNA-His". The record is from RNAcentral. Lineage: Eukaryota; Viridiplantae; Streptophyta; Magnoliopsida; Gentianales; Rubiaceae.
GGUCGGGAUAGCUCAGUGGUAGAGCGAUCGGCUGUGCACUUUAUGUAAGUGAGCGGUCAUAGCGUAGGUUCCAAUCCUACCUGAGAUCG